Molecule: ribosomal RNA, 253 nt
Filed under: uncultured bacterium
Lineage: Bacteria
Description: partial 16S ribosomal RNA
Rfam family: Bacterial small subunit ribosomal RNA
Source: RNAcentral
UACGUAGGGCGCGAGCGUUGUCCGGAAUUAUUGGGCGUAAAGAGCUUGUGGGCGGUCUGUCGCGUCUGCUGUGAAAAUCCGGGGCUCAACCCCGGACUUGCAGUGGGUACGGGCAGACUAGAGUGUGGUAGGGGAGACUGGAAUUCCUGGUGUAGCGGUGAAAUGCGCAGAUAUCAGGAGCAACACCGAUGGCGAAGGCAGGUCUCUGGGCCACUACUGACGCUGAGAAGCGAAAGCAUGGGGAGCGAACAGG